UACCUGGUUGAUCCUGCCAGUAGCAUAUGCUUGUCUCAAAGAUUAAGCCAUGCAUGUCUAAGUACAAGCCCCCAGUGGGCGAAACCGCGAAUGGCUCAAUAAAUCAGUUAUGGUUCCUUAGAUCGUACUAUAUCCUACUUGGAUAACUGUGGUAAUUCUAGAGCUAAUACAUGCACAAUAGCCCCAACUUCACGGAAGGGGUGCUUUUAUUAGAUCAAGACCAAUCGGGCUUCGGCUCGUCUCUUGGUGACUCUGAAUAACUAUAGCCGAUCGCACGGUCUCGCACCGGCGACGUGUCUUUCAAAUGUCUGCCUUAUCAACUUUCGAUGGUAGG
This 334-nucleotide ribosomal RNA is filed under the name Artemia salina. RNAcentral's name for it is "SSU rRNA". It matches the Rfam family "Eukaryotic small subunit ribosomal RNA", at positions 1 to 332 of the family's 1831-position model. The record is from RNAcentral. Lineage: Eukaryota; Metazoa; Arthropoda; Branchiopoda; Anostraca; Artemiidae.